RNAcentral lists this ribosomal RNA (465 nucleotides) under uncultured bacterium. Its description in RNAcentral is "partial 16S ribosomal RNA". It matches the Rfam family "Bacterial small subunit ribosomal RNA", at positions 28 to 507 of the family's 1533-position model. The record is from RNAcentral.
GACGAACGCUGGCGGCGUGCUUAACACAUGCAAGUCGAACGGAAAGGCCCUGCUUGCAGGGUACUCGAGUGGCGAACGGGUGAGUAACACGUGGGUGAUCUGCCCUGCACUUCGGGAUAAGCCUGGGAAACUGGGUCUAAUACCGGAUAGGAGCCAUUUUUAGUGUGAUGGUUGGAAAGUUUUUUCGGUGUAGGAUGAGCUCGCGGCCUAUCAGCUUGUUGGUGGGGUAAUGGCCUACCAAGGCGGCGACGGGUAGCCGGCCUGAGAGGGUGGACGGCCACAUUGGGACUGAGAUACGGCCCAGACUCCUACGGGAGGCAGCAGUGGGGAAUAUUGCACAAUGGGCGCAAGCCUGAUGCAGCGAGGCCGCGUGGGGGAUGACGGCCUUCGGGUUGUAAACUCCUUUCGCUAGGGACGAAGCUUUUUGUGACGGUACCUAGAUAAGAAGCACCGGCUAACUACGUG